CCUGUCCUACCUAUCAUCUAUAGGUACGGUCAGCUGCAUUUAUAAGUUGUUAUACACUUCUGUACCUUGUCAAACUGAGGAACCGUCAAUGCUUUAAUGUAUGGAUUGGCAGUUUGUUAGAUUGACAAGGUUCAAAAGUGUAUAGCUACUUAUGCAGCUGACUGUAGGUACGUAUAAGUACCUACCUA
Non-coding RNA from Plutella xylostella (diamondback moth), 188 nucleotides. NCBI's taxonomy places the organism in Eukaryota, Metazoa, Arthropoda, Insecta, Lepidoptera, Plutellidae. The record is from RefSeq and is a predicted model, not a curated record.